This 809-nucleotide ribosomal RNA is filed under the name Apodus oryzae. RNAcentral's name for it is "bacterial SSU rRNA". It matches the Rfam family "Eukaryotic small subunit ribosomal RNA", at positions 1141 to 1389 of the family's 1831-position model. Lineage: Eukaryota; Fungi; Ascomycota; Sordariomycetes; Sordariales; Lasiosphaeriaceae. The record is from RNAcentral.
AACUUAAAGUGAUUGACGGAAGGGCACCACCAGGGGUGGAGCCUGCGGCUUAAUUUGACUCAACACGGGGAACUCACCAGGUCCAGACACGAUGAGGAUUGACAGAUUGAGAGCUCUUUCUUGAUUUCGUGGGUGGUGGUGCAUGGCCGUUCUUAGUUGGUGGAGUGAUUUGUCAGCUUAAUUGCGAUAACGAACGAGACCUUAACCUGCUAAAUAGCCCGUAUUGCUUUGGCAGUACGCUGGCUUCUUAGAGGGACUAUCGGCUCAAGCCGAUGGAAGUUUGAGGCAAUAACAGUUCCGUAGGUGAACCUGCGGAGGGAUCAUUAAAGAGUUGCAAAACUCCCACAACCAUCGCGACGCUACCCAGACGUCGUUGCUUCGGCGGGCUCGCCCGCCGGGGGGACGCCACCAGACUCUUGCAGUUUUUCGGCCUCUCUGAGUAUGAUUUUUAAAUGAGUCAAAACUUUCAACAACGGAUCUCUUGUUCUGGCAUCGAUGAAGAACGCAGCGAAAUGCGAUAAGUAAUGUGAAUUGCAGAAUUCAGUGAAUCAUCGAAUCUUUGAACGCACAUUGCGCCCGCCAGUAUUCUGGCGGGCAUGCCUGUUCGAGCGUCAUUUCAACCUUCAAGCCCUGCUUGUGUUGGGGCCCUGCGGCUGCCCGCAGGCCCUGAAAACCAGUGGCGGGCUCGCUAGUCACACCGAGCGCAGUAGCACAUCUCGCUCAGGGCGUGCGGCGGGUUCUUGCCGUUAAACCACCCCCUUCCACAGGUUGACCUCGGAUCAGGUAGGAAUACCCGCUGAACUUAAGCA